GGAGAGGUGGCAGAGCGGACGAAUGCGCCGGUCUCGAAAACCGGUAUACGGUCAAACGUAUCGAGGGUUCGAAUCCCUCCCUCUCCGCCA
This 90-nucleotide transfer RNA is filed under the name Dehalococcoidia bacterium. RNAcentral describes it as "tRNA-Ser". It matches the Rfam family "tRNA". Rfam says of the family: Transfer RNA (tRNA) molecules are approximately 80 nucleotides in length. Their secondary structure includes four short double-helical elements and three loops (D, anti-codon, and T loops). Further hydrogen bonds mediate the characteristic L-shaped molecular structure. tRNAs have two regions of fundamental functional importance: the anti-codon, which is responsible for specific mRNA codon recognition, and the 3' end, to which the tRNAs corresponding amino acid is attached (by aminoacyl-tRNA synthetases). tRNAs cope with the degeneracy of the genetic code in two manners: having more than one tRNA (with a specific anti-codon) for a particular amino acid; and 'wobble' base-pairing, i.e. permitting non-standard base-pairing at the 3rd anti-codon position. The record is from RNAcentral. Lineage: Bacteria; Bacillati; Chloroflexota; Dehalococcoidia.